UAAUAAGGCAAAGGCUUCACUUGUCUUAUCCUAGAUCCGCCCUUGCGCCCUUACCUUCAACGCUAGCUCCGUCCCUGUCAGUCUUUAACUACUAAUGGAAGUGAAAAACACAAAUUCUACUCAAUCGGCGUAUGGGGAACCUCCCUGGAUUUUUAAAGGCAGUGCUUUAUACCAGCUUCAUCUUGUCAAAGCAGAGACUGCUCGAACUUUCGUUCCCAAAGACUGCAGACUAGUUGAGGCAUUUGGAUAUACUCUUGGCGGGUUCUUUCUUGCUAGCUAUGAUGACAGUCCUGCUGGAUUCUUCGACGAGUUGGUGGUGAUUGCAGGACUAGUAUGGAAUCCACCUACAUCUUGUGCAUGGGCUGCCAGGGUGCUGGUGGAUAGUGAUGAGGCAUGCCUUCAUGGGCGGAAGGUUGUAGGUCUUCCAAGUCAAGUUGCCAGGUUUUCAAAGAAAAUUACAGCACUUCCACAGACACCGAAAAGUAAAACAAGUAGUGUUCUAAGCACUGUUGGCUUGAGGACAUCUUCUGCUAGCUAUAGGAAUCACAUGGACAUAGAAGUAACGGAAAUCAAGAAGCAGAGAGCAAUAAAUAUCUGCAAUAUCAACCUUAAUACCGCUGUUCCUCAGCAAGAGUCUAAGGAAUGGAUGGGUCCUCUUAUCAAAAUGUCACUCCCAAACUUUAGCGGACGGACAAAGUACAAUUCUGAUCUCCUGAAGUACUCUUGCCAGAUUGAGUGCAGGGUAAGACCAGUGCGACCAGCAAAAGUCUUGGGACCAUUUGCAUUGGAUGCAGACAAGGAAAAUUCAUCUGAAAAUCAGAGCUUGAAUGUGGAAUCACUGGGCAGAGUGCCUACUGGGACCAAGAGAAAUUUCAGCAUAUCCGUGAUGCUGUCCAAGCCGAUUCUGGCUUUAGAAUUCAAUCAUCUGAAAAUGAAAGUUGAAGCUCCCACUACAGUUACCACACGCUCUCAGAAUACUAUUUGACAAUGAUCUUACACUAUGUGCAGUAAUUUAACAUUCUAGUACAACCAGAGGUCAUUUGGUAAUAUUGGACUACAAUUUCACAAAACACCCAAGUACAAAGGCAACAUGAUGCUGAACCGAUCAAAGAAUCAGAUUGCUUCAGGCAAGGGCUUGCCCUCCAAAAAUGACUUGAAUAGCACGAGCGAUCUCUCUGAUUGAGAGAAUGGAGCAUCAUGAGACGCGCCUCUUAUCUGUUGGGGAGUUAAACCCAAAGGAGGGAAGUGGAGAGAGUAUUUUUGAAGUCUCUUUGAAAUUGCAUUAGAAAAGCUAAAGUACAGGCCUUUUAAAUAGGCUUACAACAGUAUGAGGAAACGAUUACAUACCUGCAUCCCAGCAAACCAAAAUACUCUGUGUGGUGCGAUUGUGCUCAGUCCUAGGUUUUUAUGGACCAAUGUUCGGCUUCCAGUAAGAGGAAUCACAGAAUCCUGAUCCCCAAUGUAAACCCAGACAGGUAUUCCAUAUCACCCGCAGUAGAGAAUGUUGGUGUCUCAAGAUCAAGCUCAUAAUCCAGUGCACUGAAAUCAAAAUUCACUUUUCAGGCUGAGUAGAAUAGAAGGAGAAUAAUUACUUGCUGCAAACAAGCUAUCUGUUAAGCCCUACAAGACUGAACAUCCCUUCUGUUGUUAGAAGAUUUUAUGAUAAAGCUACGGAACGAAUAGAAAUGCCUAAGGCGACUACAGGAGGAUUGACAACUUUGGAUUGCGAGAUGAUAUACCGACAUAUCAUCAUAUCAUCAUCAUGCUAUACUAAAAAUAGGAAAGCCCUAUGUCAAAACUUGAAUUACUAAAUUACCCAUCAAAAACUAAUUAACUAUUUU
Nicotiana attenuata is the source of this 1841-nucleotide RNA transcript. It is a transcript of the gene named protein NEOXANTHIN-DEFICIENT 1, with no coding region annotated. The record is from RefSeq and is a predicted model, not a curated record. The transcript has 14 exons. Lineage: Eukaryota; Viridiplantae; Streptophyta; Magnoliopsida; Solanales; Solanaceae.